Molecule: ribosomal RNA, 512 nt
Filed under: uncultured bacterium
Lineage: Bacteria
Description: partial 16S ribosomal RNA
Rfam family: Bacterial small subunit ribosomal RNA
Source: RNAcentral
GAUGAACGCUGGCGGCGUGCCUAAUACAUGCAAGUCGAACGAAACUUCUUUAUCACCGAGUGCUUGCACUCACCGAUAAAGAGUUGAGUGGCGAACGGGUGAGUAACACGUGGGCAACCUGCCCAAAAGAGGGGGAUUACACUUGGAAACAGGUGCUAAUACCGCAUAACCAUAGUUACCGCAUGGUAACUAUGUAAAAGGUGGCUAUACUACCGCUUUUGGAUGGGCCCGCGGCGCAUUAGCUAGUUGGUAGGGUAAAGGCUUACCAAGGCAAUGAUGCGUAGCCGAAUUGAGAGGUUGAUCGGCCACAUUGGGACUGAGACACGGCCCAAACUCCUACGGGAGGCAGCAGUAGGGAAUCUUCCACAAUGGGCGAAAGCCUGAUGGAGCAACGCCGCGUGGGUGAAGAAGGUCUUCGGAUCGUAAAACCCUGUUGUUAGAGAAGAAAGUGCGUGAGAGUAACUGUUCACGUUUCGACGGUAUCUAACCAGAAAGCCACGGCUAACUACGUG